CUUUGUUUACGCUUCCACUGUGGAAGCAAGAUUCAUCUUCCUGCUUUUCUCCGCUUCUUUUGCUCGGCGCCAUCUUGUCCUCUCCCUUCUGACUUGACAUUGUUCAAAGUUGAGAGAAAGAGCCUCCCUGAGACUCAACCAUUUAAGGCAUAGAAAGCAUUGUGACAAGAAACUUAAUAGUUUUUAAUCCUGGCAGAAAGGACAAGGAAAACCAAAGAUAAAGAUUGAGUACAUUUUAUUAUUCUCCUAGGAAUGGGAGAGGAGGAAUUUCACAUUUAAUAAACAUCUCGCUUCAGUUC
Phyllostomus discolor (pale spear-nosed bat) is the source of this 299-nucleotide long non-coding RNA. RefSeq lists it as uncharacterized. The record is from RefSeq and is a predicted model, not a curated record. The transcript has 2 exons. Lineage: Eukaryota; Metazoa; Chordata; Mammalia; Chiroptera; Phyllostomidae.